CCUACGGGAGGCAGCAGUGAGGAAUAUUGGUCAAUGGACGAGAGUCUGAACCAGCCAAGUAGCGUGAAGGAUGACUGCCCUAUGGGUUGUAAACUUCUUUUAUAUGGGAAUAAAACAGGGCAUGCAUACCCUUUUGUAUGUACCAUAUGAAUAAGGAUCGGCUAACUCCGUGCCAGCAGCCGCGGUAAUACGGAGGAUCCGAGCGUUAUCCGGAUUUAUUGGGUUUAAAGGGAGCGUAGGUGGAUUGUUAAGUCAGUUGUGAAAGUUUGCGGCUCAACCGUAAAAUUGCAAUUGAUACUGGCAGUCUUGAGUACAGUUGAGGUAGGCGGAAUUCGUGGUGUAGCGGUGAAAUGCUUAGAUAUCACGAAGAACUCCGAGUGCGAAGGCAGCUUACUAAACUGCCACUGACAUUGAUGCUCGAAAGUGUGGGUAUCAAACAGGAUUAGAUACCCUAGUAGUC
This 460-nucleotide ribosomal RNA is filed under the name uncultured bacterium. RNAcentral's name for it is "partial 16S ribosomal RNA". It matches the Rfam family "Bacterial small subunit ribosomal RNA", at positions 338 to 795 of the family's 1533-position model. The record is from RNAcentral.